UAAAAGAUAAGCUAAUGAAGCUGUUGGGUUCAUACCCCAAAUAUGAUUUUUCUCUUUUAG
RNAcentral lists this transfer RNA (60 nucleotides) under Portunion sinensis. RNAcentral's name for it is "tRNA-Met". Lineage: Eukaryota; Metazoa; Arthropoda; Malacostraca; Isopoda; Entoniscidae. The record is from RNAcentral. RNAcentral also lists the same sequence under 1 other name.